GGGAAGGCCUGGGUCGCUUCCAGCCUGUUUGGUGUCUCGCGGGCUGUCCAGGAGUUUGGUCUGGCCAGGUUCAAAAGCAACGUGACCAAGAGCACUAAGGGAUUUGAAUACGUGCUAGCAAGAAUGCAAGGAGAAGCUCCAUCCAAAACGCUGGUUGAGACAGCCAAGGAAGCGACAGAGAAAGCCAAGGAGACAGCUCUGGCUGCAACGGAGAAAGCAAAGGACUUGGCGAGCAAGGCGGCCACCAAGAAGAAGCAGUACGUGUGAGGGGCCAGGCACAGGUGGGCACCGGCUGCACCAGAACAGAUAGGAGCCUCCUUAGAUUUUAUAUUUUUAAGCAAACUGUUCAAGUCUGACAAUCAGCUGCUGUUAGACCCUCUCCGAGAUGUAAUUAUCAUUAAAGAAUCCACGCCUGCCUCU
This is a long non-coding RNA of Apaloderma vittatum (bar-tailed trogon), 420 nucleotides long. RefSeq lists it as uncharacterized. The transcript has 3 exons. The record is from RefSeq and is a predicted model, not a curated record. NCBI's taxonomy places the organism in Eukaryota, Metazoa, Chordata, Aves, Trogoniformes, Trogonidae.